CCAGUCUGCUGUAUCUUGGUAUAGCAACCCAAAAGGACUAAGACACUUGUUUUCCACAGUGUUGUGGAAAACAAAGGAGAUGUUGAUGGAAAACAAUUUGAAGAUGGCUGGUAGCUCCAUGAUAGAAGCAAAAUGUCAGAGCUGGCAGAAGUUUAAUAGAGAGAUCCUGGAAAACCUACAGAAUGGAAGACCACAGUCAAUUCUGGAAGUCAGGAAGGCUUCCAUAUGUACUAGGUUAAACCUGCUCAGAAGCAAGCAGCCCUAACAACUAGCUUGGCCAUGCAAGCUCUGCCUUGGAGGGUGGAUGACAAAAAGAAACAGAGCAAGCCAAGAAGACAGAAUCAGUAUAGCCGAGAUGUGUGCAAAGAGAAGCCAGGAAGCUAACACUGAGAAUGUACAAGAAAGCUUUACAUGAUGUUACAGAAUAUUGUCUGGAAAAA
Molecule: long non-coding RNA, 440 nt
Organism: Suricata suricatta (meerkat)
Lineage: Eukaryota; Metazoa; Chordata; Mammalia; Carnivora; Herpestidae
Exons: 3
Source: RefSeq, a predicted model, not a curated record